RNAcentral lists this ribosomal RNA (429 nucleotides) under bacterium. RNAcentral describes it as "partial 16S ribosomal RNA". It matches the Rfam family "Bacterial small subunit ribosomal RNA", at positions 355 to 776 of the family's 1533-position model. The record is from RNAcentral.
UAGGGAAUCUUCCACAAUGGACGCAAGUCUGAUGGAGCAACGCCGCGUGAGUGAAGAAGGUUUUCGGAUCGUAAAGCUCUGUUGUUGGUGAAGAAGGAUAGAGGUAGUAACUGGCCUUUAUUUGACGGUAAUCAACCAGAAAGUCACGGCUAACUACGUGCCAGCAGCCGCGGUAAUACGUAGGUGGCAAGCGUUGUCCGGAUUUAUUGGGCGUAAAGCGAGCGCAGGCGGAAGAAUAAGUCUGAUGUGAAAGCCCUCGGCUUAACCGCGGAACUGCAUCGGAAACUGUUUUUCUUGAGUGCAGAAGAGGAGAGUGGAAUUCCAUGUGUAGCGGUGGAAUGCGUAGAUAUAUGGAAGAACACCAGUGGCGAAGGCGACUCUCUGGUCUGCAACUGACGCUGAGGCUCGAAAGCAUGGGUAGCGAACAGG